This 395-nucleotide ribosomal RNA is filed under the name Perionyx sp. PK-2012. RNAcentral describes it as "partial 16S ribosomal RNA". It matches the Rfam family "Bacterial large subunit ribosomal RNA", at positions 1836 to 2515 of the family's 2925-position model. The record is from RNAcentral. Lineage: Eukaryota; Metazoa; Annelida; Clitellata; Crassiclitellata; Megascolecidae.
GGGGUCUUUAAAUAACGUAAUUUCCUGCCCAGUGACAAUAGUUCAACGGCCGCGGUAUCCUAACCGUGCAAAGGUAGCAUAAUCACUUGCCUAUUAAUUGUAGGCUAGAAUGAACGGAUAAACGAAAUAAACCCUGUCUCAAUUAGCAACCUAAAAAUUAUUCUCCAUACGAAGAAAUAUGGAUAAAAUCGAAGGACAAGAAGACCCUAUAGAGCUUUAUUUAAAUCAUAAAUUCCAUCUAAUGUAAAAAUUCGGUUGGGGCGACCUAGGGAGUUACUAAUCACCCUAUAAUACAAAGAUAAAUUAAUCAUAUACCUGACCCUUAUAAGAUCACAAAAUCUAGCUACCUUAGGGAUAACAGGCUACUCUCAUUUAAGAGUUUAUAUCAAAGGGGG